Long non-coding RNA from Lethenteron reissneri (Far Eastern brook lamprey), 996 nucleotides. RefSeq lists it as uncharacterized. The record is from RefSeq and is a predicted model, not a curated record. NCBI's taxonomy places the organism in Eukaryota, Metazoa, Chordata, Hyperoartia, Petromyzontiformes, Petromyzontidae.
ACUGGAGUCCGCGAGGCAUCUCCCGCACUCAUCCUACCAGCGCAGACACAGAACAGCAACUUUUUUAGGAGAGGCAGCCUCAACCCACAAUGCUCACCACAUCCGUGCCGAAGAGGGAAAACCUUUUGGAGGGGGAAGGUGGCCGGGAAACGGAGCGUGUCAGUGACCACCUAUGAAAACCAGAUUGUAAUCAGCAGAACGUGGCUCAGGAGCUCGGCGCCGAUGUCGAGGUGCUGGCUGCUUGCUACUGCUGGCCAAGACGAGAGGGCUUCAGCAGCAGAGCGAGAGAGUUCGUGUCGUGUCGCUGCUCCUCCUGCUGCGUUGAAGGAGCCCAGCCCACAGUGGAUGUCCAGUCCGGGCAUGGGGUCAGCCAGUUAUAACGAGGGAUCGAGGACACUGCGAGAAAGGGCUGGGUAUAGGCCCGCUUCCUAUUUUAUUCGCCACUGAUGACAGCCGUCCUCUGUAAUCAAACCGAGAAGAAUCUCGGAGGAACGCUGCUGGCGAACGGAGCGGAUCAACGCGGACGGCCAGAAUUGGGGAACAGUUGUCAGACUGGAACCUCGCCGCGUUGGUCGGCGCGGAUUGGAGUCGGUGAGGAGCGGAAGAAGAAGAGUCUCGAGUCAUCCCCACGUUGCUCCGAAUCUCCGCGGCGUCUCGUCUCGUGGCGACAUCCUGGGGCGUGCUGAACAGGACUCGACACACGAGGAUCGAACGGCGUCACCGGCAACUCAACUCCACCACCAAACAACAACAACAAACAACAACAACAAUUCAACACGGGAGAGCGCCCUUGCGCGUGUCCCGGUGCCACGAGGGGGCCGGCAGAGAGAUCCUUCCUCGCCGUGUCCUCCACGACCGGACACCCCGAACCUCGCCUCGCCAAGGCAGCCACGCGGGCGGAGGGAGCUGCAGCUCGCCGGCAGUUGUCGACUUAAACCGCGGAGACGACUUCUGUGUUUGCACGGGCGGGGUGGGGGCGCCAGGUGGGUGGGUAGA